This 312-nucleotide ribosomal RNA is filed under the name Triticum aestivum (bread wheat). Its description in RNAcentral is "partial small subunit ribosomal RNA". The record is from RNAcentral. Lineage: Eukaryota; Viridiplantae; Streptophyta; Magnoliopsida; Poales; Poaceae.
AUGCAUCCCUCCCAUUGCAUCUCCAAAGAUGGUACUAUGAUCUCUCUCUCUCUCUCUCUCUCUCUCUCUCUCUCUCACACACACACACACACACACACACACACACGCGCGCGCGCGCGCGCGCGCGCACACACCUCUGUGCAGCAGGAUCAGGCUCGACGCGUCGUGGGUGUUGGGGCGGGUCCACGCGGCGUCACUUUGCUUCUUGGCUCUCUGUCGUUCGCAUCUAUCGCCCACGCUGCGUUGCUUAAAAGGCCCUCCGCCGGCAUCCAAGGCGACGCCCUCCAGCACCACUCUCACAUAACAAGCUAG